This 74-nucleotide transfer RNA is filed under the name Dehalogenimonas alkenigignens. RNAcentral describes it as "tRNA-Gln". It matches the Rfam family "tRNA". Rfam says of the family: Transfer RNA (tRNA) molecules are approximately 80 nucleotides in length. Their secondary structure includes four short double-helical elements and three loops (D, anti-codon, and T loops). Further hydrogen bonds mediate the characteristic L-shaped molecular structure. tRNAs have two regions of fundamental functional importance: the anti-codon, which is responsible for specific mRNA codon recognition, and the 3' end, to which the tRNAs corresponding amino acid is attached (by aminoacyl-tRNA synthetases). tRNAs cope with the degeneracy of the genetic code in two manners: having more than one tRNA (with a specific anti-codon) for a particular amino acid; and 'wobble' base-pairing, i.e. permitting non-standard base-pairing at the 3rd anti-codon position. RNAcentral also lists the same sequence under 6 other names. The record is from RNAcentral. Lineage: Bacteria; Bacillati; Chloroflexota; Dehalococcoidia; Dehalococcoidales; Dehalococcoidaceae.
UGGGGAUUCGUCUAGCGGUAGGACAGCAGACUCUGGAUCUGCUUGGCCAGGUUCGAAUCCUGGAUCCCCAGCCA